AGAGUUUGAUCCUGGCUCAGAACGAACGCUGGCGGCGUGCCUAACACAUGCAAGUCGUACGAGAAAAUCCGCUUCGGCGGGUGAGUAGAGUGGCGCACGGGUGAGUAACGCGUGGAUAAUCUGCCUUUAAGCUGGGAAUAACUCACCGAGAGGUGGGCUAAUACCCGAUAAUGCUAUGGGACUUCGGUUUUAUAGCCAAAGAGAGCCUCUACAUGUAAGCCUUCACUUAAAGAUGAGUCCGCGUACCAUUAGCUAGUUGGUAGGGUAAUGGCCUACCAAGGCGACGAUGGUUAGCUGGUCUGAGAGGAUGAUCAGCCACACUGGAACUGAGACACGGUCCAGACUCCUACGGGAGGCAGCAGUGAGGAAUAUUGCGCAAUGGGGGCAACCCUGACGCAGCAACGCCGCGUGAGUGAGGAAGGUCUUCGGACCGUAAAGCUCUGUCGGGUGGGAAGAAGUGUGCAUAGGUUAAUAGCUUGUGCACUUGACGGUACCGCCAAAGGAAGCACCGGCUAACUCCGUGCCAGCAGCCGCGGUAAUACGGGGGGUGCGAGCGUUGUUCGGAAUCAUUGGGCGUAAAGAGCGUGUAGGCGGCUAGGCAAGUCAGAUGUGAAAUCCCUGGGCUUAACCCAGGAAGUGCAUUUGAAACUGCUUAGCUUGAGUAAGGAAGAGGGAAGUGGAAUUCCUGGUGUAGAGGUGAAAUUCGUAGAUAUCAGGAGGAACACCGGUGGCGAGGGCGACUUCCUGGUCCUAUACUGACGCUGAGACGCGAGAGCGUGGGGAGCAAACAGGAUUAGAUACCCUGGUAGUCCACGCCGUAAACGAUGUUCACUAGGUGUUGAGGGUAUUGACCCCUUCAGUGCCGAAGCUAACGCAUUAAGUGAACCGCCUGGGGAGUACGGUCGCAAGAUUAAAACUCAAAGGAAUUGACGGGGGCCCGCACAAGCGGUGGAGCAUGUGGUUUAAUUCGAUGCAACGCGAAGAACCUUACCUGGUCUUGACAUGCUGGUGAAAUCCGUGGAAACACGGCCCUCCCGCAAGGGACGCCAGUACAGAUGGUGCAUGGCUGUCGUCAGCUCGUGUCGUGAGAUGUUGGGUUAAGUCCCGCAACGAGCGCAACCCUUACCCUUAGUUGUUUUCCCGAAAGGAUUACCCUCUAAGGGGACUGCCCCGGACAACGGGGAGGAAGGCGGGGAUGAUGUCAAGUCCGCAUGCUUCUUACGACCAGGGCUACACACGUCCUACAAUGGGGUCGACAGAGGGAUGCAAAGCCGCGAGGUAGAGCCAAUCCCUAAACGGCCUCUCAGUUCGGAUAGUAGUCUGCAACUCGACUACUUGAAGUCGGAAUCGCUAGUAAUGGCGGAUCAGCAUGCCGCCGUGAAUACGUUCCCGGGUCUUGCACUCACCGCCCGUCA
RNAcentral lists this ribosomal RNA (1415 nucleotides) under uncultured bacterium. RNAcentral's name for it is "partial 16S ribosomal RNA". It matches the Rfam family "Bacterial small subunit ribosomal RNA". The record is from RNAcentral.